RNAcentral lists this ribosomal RNA (256 nucleotides) under uncultured bacterium. RNAcentral's name for it is "partial 16S ribosomal RNA". It matches the Rfam family "Bacterial small subunit ribosomal RNA", at positions 524 to 776 of the family's 1533-position model. The record is from RNAcentral.
UACGUAGGGUCCGAGCGUUGUCCGGAAUUACUGGGCGUAAAGAGCUCGUAGGUGGUUUUGUCGCGUUGUUCGUGAAAAACUCACAGCUCAACUGUGGGCGUGCGGGCGAUACGGGCAGACUAGAGUACUGCAGGGGAGACUGGAAUUCCUGGUGUAGCGGUGAAAUGCGCAGAUAUCAGGAGGAACACCGGUGGCGAAGGCGGGUCUCUGGGCCGAUACUGACGCUGAGGAGCGAAAGCGUGGGGGAGCGAACAGG